This 360-nucleotide ribosomal RNA is filed under the name uncultured bacterium. Its description in RNAcentral is "bacterial SSU rRNA". It matches the Rfam family "Bacterial small subunit ribosomal RNA", at positions 28 to 389 of the family's 1533-position model. The record is from RNAcentral.
GACGAACGCUGGCGGCGUGCUUAACACAUGCAAGUCGAACGGUGAACCGGGCUUCGGCCCGGGGAUCAGUGGCGAACGGGUGCGUAACACGUGGGCAACCUGCCUCAGACACUGGGAUAACCCCGGGAAACCGGGGCUAAUACCGGAUACUCCGACCGGACUGCAUGAUCCGGCCGGGAAAGCUCCGACGGUCUGAGAUGGGCCCGCGGCCUAUCAGCUUGUUGGUGGGGUAACGCCCACCAAGGCGACGACGGGAGCUGGUCUGAGAGGACGACCAGCCACACUGGAACUGAGACACGGUCCAGACUCCUACGGGAGGCAGCAGUGGGGAAUCUUGCGCAAUGGGCGAAAGCCUGACGC